This 1432-nucleotide ribosomal RNA is filed under the name Dioscorea cayenensis subsp. rotundata (Guinea yam). Its description in RNAcentral is "bacterial SSU rRNA". It matches the Rfam family "Bacterial small subunit ribosomal RNA". The record is from RNAcentral. Lineage: Eukaryota; Viridiplantae; Streptophyta; Magnoliopsida; Dioscoreales; Dioscoreaceae.
AGAGUUUUAUCCUGGCUCAAGAUGAACGCUGGCAACAUUCUUAACACAUGCAAGUUCGAUGGGAAGUCGUGUUUCUAGUGGCGAACAAGUGAGCAAGGCGUAAGAACUUGCCCUUAAGAAGGGAACAACAACUUAAAACGAUUAUUAAUACACCGUAGGCUGAGGAGCAAAAGAAGAAAUCCACCCAAGGUUGGGCUCGUGUCUGAUUAGCUAGUUGGUGAGGCAAUAGCUUACCAAGACGAUGAUCAGUAGCUUGUUCGAGAGAAUGAUCAGCUACACUGGGACUUAGACACAGCCUAGCCUCAUACGGGAGACAACAGUGGGGAAUUUUUCGCAAUAGGCAAAAGCCUGACGAAACAAUGCUGCAUGGAGGUAGAAGGCCCACUGGUUAUGAACUUAAUUUCUUAGAAAAGCAAUGACGGUAUCUGAGGAAUAAGUAUCAGCUAACUCUGUGCUAGCAACCGCGGUAAGACAGAGGAUGCAAGCGUUAUCCGAAAUGAUUGGACGUAAAGCAUAUGUAGGUGGCUUUGCAAGCCCGCCAUCAAAUUCCACGCUCAAGCCUGGAUAGGUGAUGGAAACUACUAAGCUAGAGUAUAAUAGGGACAAACGGAAUUUCCGGUGGAGCGGUGAAAUGCGUAGAGAUCGGAAAGAACACUAACGGCCAAAGCACUUUGCUAGGCAGACAUUGACACUGAGAGACGAAAGCUAGGGAAGCAAAUGAGAUUAGAUACCCUAGUAGUCCUAGCCAUAAACGAUGGAUACUAGAUGUUGUGCGUAUCAACCUGUGCAGCCUUGUAGCUAACGCGUUAAAUAUCCCACUUGGGAGUACGUUAGCAAGAAUGAAACUCAAAGAAAUUGACCGGGUCCAAUACAAGCAGUGAAGCAUGUGGUUUAAUUCGAUGCAAAGCGAAGAACCUUACUAGGGCUUUACAUGUCGUGAAUCCUCUUGAAAGAGAAGGGUUCCCUUAGGAACGGGGAUACAGGUGGUGCAUCGCUGUCGUCAGCUUAUGCUGUAAGGUGUUGGGUUAAGUCCCACAACAAGCGUAACCCUCGUGUUCAGUUACCACCAUUAAGUUUGGAAUCCUGAACAAACUACCGAUGAUAGGCCGGAGGAAGGUGAGGAUGACGUUAAGUCAUCAUGCCCCUUAUGCCAUAAGCGACACACGUGCUAUAAUGGGUGGAACAAAGGGUUGCGACCCCGCGAGGGUGAGUUAACUCCAAAAGCUUGUCCUCAAUUCAGAUUGCAAGCAGUAACUUGCCUGCAUGAAGUUAGAAUCGCUAGUAAUUACCGGUUAGCCAUACAAUGGUAAAUUCGUUCCCAGGCCUUAUACACACCACUUGUCACACUAUGGGAGUUGGUCAUACCCCAAAUAGGGUUAAUGUUUUUGGUAAAUCACUGAACUUUGGUCAAAUAUCAUUUUGAUCACUUAAU